This 744-nucleotide ribosomal RNA is filed under the name uncultured bacterium. RNAcentral describes it as "bacterial SSU rRNA". It matches the Rfam family "Bacterial small subunit ribosomal RNA", at positions 8 to 796 of the family's 1533-position model. The record is from RNAcentral.
AGAGUUUGAUCAUGGCUCAGAGCGAACGCUGGCGGCAGGCUUAACACAUGCAAGUCGAGCGGGUGUAGCAAUACAUCAGCGGCAGACGGGUGAGUAACGCGUGGGAACGUACCUUUUGGUUCGGAACAACCCAGGGAAACUUGGGCUAAUACCGGAUAAGCCCUUACGGGGAAAGAUUUAUCGCCGAAAGAUCGGCCCGCGUCUGAUUAGCUAGUUGGUGAGGUAAUGGCUCACCAAGGCGACGAUCAGUAGCUGGUCUGAGAGGAUGAUCAGCCACAUUGGGACUGAGACACGGCCCAAACUCCUACGGGAGGCAGCAGUGGGGAAUAUUGGACAAUGGGCGCAAGCCUGAUCCAGCCAUGCCGCGUGAGUGAUGAAGGCCCUAGGGUUGUAAAGCUCUUUUGUGCGGGAAGAUAAUGACGGUACCGCAAGAAUAAGCCCCGGCUAACUUCGUGCCAGCAGCCGCGGUAAUACGAAGGGGGCUAGCGUUGCUCGGAAUCACUGGGCGUAAAGGGUGCGUAGGCGGGUCUUUAAGUCAGGGGUGAAAUCCUGGAGCUCAACUCCAGAACUGCCUUUGAUACUGAAGAUCUUGAGUUCGGGAGAGGUGAGUGGAACUGCGAGUGUAGAGGUGAAAUUCGUAGAUAUUCGCAAGAACACCAGUGGCGAAGGCGGCUCACUGGCCCGAUACUGACGCUGAGGCACGAAAGCGUGGGGAGCAAACAGGAUUAGAUACCCUAGUAGUCC